This 455-nucleotide ribosomal RNA is filed under the name uncultured haloarchaeon. Its description in RNAcentral is "bacterial SSU rRNA". It matches the Rfam family "Archaeal small subunit ribosomal RNA", at positions 1 to 453 of the family's 1478-position model. The record is from RNAcentral. Lineage: Archaea; Methanobacteriati; Methanobacteriota; Halobacteria; Halobacteriales; Halobacteriaceae.
AUUCCGGUUGAUCCUGCCGGAGGCCAUUGCUAUCGGAGUCCGAUUUAGCCAUGCUAGUCGUGCGAGUUCAGACUCGCGGCACCGAGCUCAGUAACACGUGGCCAAACUACCCUACAGAGACGGAUACCCUCGGGAAACUGAGGUUAACCCGUCAUACCGAUCUCAGGCUUGAAUCGCAGAGAUCACAAAACGCCCCGGCGCUGUAGGAUGUGGCUGCGGUUGAUUAGGUAGACGGUGGGGUAACGGCGCGCACCGUGCCCAUAAUCAGUACAGGUUGUGAGAGCAAGAACCUGGAGACGGAAUCUGAGACAAGAUUCCGGGCCUACGGGGCGCAGCAGGCGCGAAACCUUGUACACUGCACGCACGUGCGAUAAGGGGACUCCGAGUGCGAGGGCAUAUCGUCCUCGCUUUCGUGUACCGGUACGGCGGUACACCAACAAGGGCUGGGCAAGACC